UUGUAAUAAAAUUAUUUUUAUAAAAUUUUAAAAGAAAUUUUAUUUUAUUAUUAAUUAGAAAAAUUAUUUUUUAUAAUAGGUUAUUAGUAAGGUUAUUGAAUUUUUUAACAAUAAAAAAGUAAAAUUUAUUAUUUGUACCUUGUGGAUCAGGGUUUAUUAAUUAAUAAUUAAUUAUUUAAUUUUCUCGAAUUUAUAAGAUUUAAUUAAUUAUUUAUUUAAAUGUUGAAUAAUUUUUUUAAAUAAUUAAUUAGAGGUGAAAUGUUAUUCGGUUAUAAAUAUAUCUAGUUUUUUAAGAAAAUAAUUUAAUUAUAUUAUUAAUUAGUAAGUUUUAUUUUUUAAUACUUAAUUUUUAGUAUUUAAUAUUUAAUGGGAUAAGCUUUUAAAUAGAUUUUUAUAAUAUGUAGAUAUUUUAUAUUAAGUAUAAUUUGAAUUGUUAAUCAUAAAUAAAUUAAUAUUUAAAUAUUUGAAUUAAAGAUUUUUUUUUAUUUAAUUUUUAUAUUAAAAAAAAUCAAGUAACUUAAAUUGUUUGAUAUAAUGAUAAAAUUAGUAAUAAUGAAUUAAUUUUAUAUAAUUUUUUAAGAUUAAAAUAAGGAACUCGGCAAAAUUAUUUUCUGCCUGUUUACUAAAAACAUGUCUUUUUGAUUUUAAUUUAAGGUUUAAUCUGCUCAAUGAUGAAUUUAAUAGCCGCAGUACUUUGACUGUGCAAAGGUAGCAUAAUAAUUAGUUAUUUAAUUAGUAACUGGAAUGAAUGAUUGGACAAGAAAAUUUCUGUCUCUUUUUAAUAAUUUUUUGAAUUUAAUUUUUAAGUUAAAAUGCUUAACUGUUUUUAAAAGACGAGAAGACCCCAUAGAGUUUUAUUUUUAUAAAUUUUAGUAUAAUAAUUUAAAUUAAAAAUUAGUUGGGGUGACUAAAAGAUAAAUUUAACUCUUUUAAUUAAAAAUCAUUGAUUUAUGAUUUAUAAUUCUAAUUUUUUUAAAUUUAAAUAAAAUUACCUUGGGGAUAACAGCGUAAUUUUUUUUUAGAGUUCUUAUCAAAUAAAGAGAUUGCGACCUCGAUGUUGGAUUAAAUUUUAUUUUGGGUGUAGAAGCUUAAAAAUUAAGUCUGUUCGACUUUUAAAAUUUUACAUGAUCUGAGUUUAAACCGGUGUAAGCCAGGUUGGUUUCUAUCUUUAUAAUAAUUAAAUAUUUUAGUACGAAAGGACCAAAUAUUAAAUAAAUUAUUUAGUUUUAAAUAAAAUU
RNAcentral lists this ribosomal RNA (1238 nucleotides) under Diaphanes citrinus. RNAcentral's name for it is "16S ribosomal RNA". The stretch from base 999 to 1157 matches the Rfam family "Archaeal large subunit ribosomal RNA", at positions 2542 to 2701 of the family's 2987-position model. The record is from RNAcentral. Lineage: Eukaryota; Metazoa; Arthropoda; Insecta; Coleoptera; Lampyridae.